RNAcentral lists this ribosomal RNA (1372 nucleotides) under uncultured bacterium. RNAcentral's name for it is "bacterial SSU rRNA". It matches the Rfam family "Bacterial small subunit ribosomal RNA", at positions 28 to 1381 of the family's 1533-position model. The record is from RNAcentral.
GAUGAACGCUGGCGGCGUGCCUAAUACAUGCAAGUCGAGCGAACGGACGAGAAGCUUGCUUCUCUGAUGUUAGCGGCGGACGGGUGAGUAACACGUGGAUAACCUACCUAUAAGACUGGGAUAACUUCGGGAAACCGGAGCUAAUACCGGAUAAUAUUUUGAACCGCAUGGUUCAAAAGUAAAAGACGGUCUUGCUGUCACUUAUAGAUGGAUCCGCGCUGCAUUAGCUAGUUGGUAAGGUAACGGCUUACCAAGGCAACGAUGCAUAGCCGACCUGAGAGGGUGAUCGGCCACACUGGAACUGAGACACGGUCCAGACUCCUACGGGAGGCAGCAGUAGGGAAUCUUCCGCAAUGGGCGAAAGCCUGACGGAGCAACGCCGCGUGAGUGAUGAAGGUCUUCGGAUCGUAAAACUCUGUUAUUAGGGAAGAAUAUAUGUGUAAGUAACUGUGCACAUCUUGACGGUACCUAAUCAGAAAGCCACGGCUAACUACGUGCCAGCAGCCGCGGUAAUACGUAGGUGGCAAGCGUUAUCCGGAAUUAUUGGGCGUAAAGCGCGCGUAGGCGGUUUUUUAAGUCUGAUGUGAAAGCCCACGGCUCAUUCGUGGAGGGUCAUUGGAAACUGGAAAACUUGAGUGCAGAAGAGGAAAGUGGAAUUCCAUGUGUAGCGGUGAAAUGCGCAGAGAUAUGGAGGAACACCAGUGGCGAAGGCGACUUUCUGGUCUGUAACUGACGCUGAUGUGCGAAAGCGUGGGGAUCAAACAGGAUUAGAUACCCUGGUAGUCCACGCCGUAAACGAUGAGUGCUAAGUGUUAGGGGGUUUCCGCCCCUUAGUGCUGCAGCUAACGCAUUAAGCACUCCGCCUGGGGAGUACGACCGCAAGGUUGAAACUCAAAGGAAUUGACGGGGACCCGCACAAGCGGUGGAGCAUGUGGUUUAAUUCGAAGCAACGCGAAGAACCUUACCAAAUCUUGACAUCCUUUGACAACUCUAGAGAUAGAGCCUUCCCCUUCGGGGGACAAAGUGACAGGUGGUGCAUGGUUGUCGUCAGCUCGUGUCGUGAGAUGUUGGGUUAAGUCCCGCAACGAGCGCAACCCUUAAGCUUAGUUGCCAUCAUUAAGUUGGGCACUCUAAGUUGACUGCCGGUGACAAACCGGAGGAAGGUGGGGAUGACGUCAAAUCAUCAUGCCCCUUAUGAUUUGGGCUACACACGUGCUACAAUGGACAAUACAAAGGGCAGCGAAACCGCGAGGUCAAGCAAAUCCCAUAAAGUUGUUCUCAGCUCGGAUUGUAGUCUGCAACUCGACUACAUGAAGCUGGAAUCGCUAGUAAUCGUAGAUCAGCAUGCUACGGUGAAUACGUUCCCGGGUCU